GACGAUACAUAGCCGACCUGAGAGGGUGAUCGGCCACACUGGGACUGAGACACGGCCCAGACUCCUACGGGAGGCAGCAGUAGGGAAUCUUCGGCAAUGGGGGGAACCCUGACCGAGCAACGCCGCGUGAGUGAAGAAGGUUUUCGGAUCGUAAAGCUCUGUUGUUAAGGAAGAACGAGUGUGAGAAUGGAAAGUUCAUACUGUGACGGUACUUAACCAGAAAGGGACGGCUAACUACGUGCCAGCAGCCGCGGUAAUACGUAGGUCCCGAGCGUUGUCCGGAUUUAUUGGGCGUAAAGCGAGCGCAGGCGGUUAGAUAAGUCUGAAGUUAAAGGCAGUGGCUCAACCAUUGUAGGCUUUGGAAACUGUUUAACUUGAGUGCAGAAGGGGAGAGUGGAAUUCCAUGUGUAGCGGUGAAAUGCGUAGAUAUAUGGAGGAACACCGGUGGCGAAAGCGGCUCUCUGGUCUGUAACUGACGCUGAGGCUCGAAAGCGUGGGGAGCGAACAGGAUUAGAUACCCUGGUAGUCCACGCCGUAAACGAUGAGUGCUAGGUGUUAGGUCCUUUCCGGGACUUAGUGCCGCAGCUAACGCAUUAAGCACUCCGCCUGGGGAGUACGACCGCAAGGUUGAAACUCAAAGGAAUUGACGGG
This 651-nucleotide ribosomal RNA is filed under the name uncultured bacterium. RNAcentral's name for it is "bacterial SSU rRNA". It matches the Rfam family "Bacterial small subunit ribosomal RNA", at positions 275 to 917 of the family's 1533-position model. The record is from RNAcentral.